UUUCACGCAGCUCUUGCUGUUUGCCUUUUGGGUCUUUGCUUGUGUUGACUUUUGUGAAUAAAUAUUGUUUUGAGGAGUACCCCGGCAUUUGAGUCUUUCUAUUGCCUGACAGUGACAGGGUUGAGUAGUUGAAAAAUUGAUUGAAUUGAAUGAAUUAAUUUGCUAAGUAUCAAUUAAAAAAAGUUACGUUUGUUUCAAUGAAAUCAUGCAGGGUGAGAACGGUCAUAAGAGUAGCCUACAGUUUUUGAAAUUGAGAUUUUCACAUCAUCUGAAAGCUGAAUAAAUAAGCUUUCCAUUGAUGUCUGGUUUGUUAGGCUAGGACAGUAUUUGGAGAUACAAGUAUUUAAAACUCUGGAAUCUGAGGGUGCAAAAAAUCUAAAUAUUGAGAAAAUGGCCUUUAAAGUUGAAAAUCAGAGGUGCUGUAGGCCGUUGCUAAGAAACAGGUUUGUUUUAACGCUCUCUAUUGGCUUACUGUAAUGAUGUUGUGGAGAGUAGAUGAAGCCGAAAAGCUGAAAUUCUUAUCUUUACAUAGAUAAAUAACUUAAGUAGGUAAUUCCCAAAGAGCGGGCAGCAGCGAGCAAAGUUUGUAGGCGUGUUUAUGGCUAUUUUUUGAAAAUGAAGUUUUUAUAUAUUUACGGUAGGAAAUUUACCAGAUAUCCUCAUGGAAAAUGAUCUUUACUUAAUAUCCUAAUGAUCUUUGGCAUAAAAGAAAAAUCAAUAAUUUUGACCCACAAAUAUUCCCGUGCUAUGGUUUUGUGCUCCAUGGUAACAAUUUAAGAUUUUUUAUUUUAUACACUGAAAAAAAUACCCAUAAAAAUAGUAAUAUUUCAGCAGCUGGGGUGCCAGAAAAAAUACAACAAAAUAAAAUUUUUAUGAAGUAAAAUGACAUGUUUUUCCUGUUAUUUUACACCCAACUUGUAAAUUUGCAGUCUAUUUCUUUUUCAAAAAUAAAACAGUAAAAUUCCUGUUUUUACAGCGUACAAUUACUUUUCUGACACGGUUGAAUGCUUGAAAAAAUAAUUUACUUGCGAAGGAUUAAUUUUAAUUAAUUAAUCCAUUUUAUUUAAAAGAAAUGUAAAACGUCUUACACAGCCACGUAAACCACAAAAAAAAUGUAAUAAUUAUUUUUUCCUUAAUAACCAGCUCCAUAUUAAUCAACAGAUUAUAGCAAAAUGUCAGCAGUGAAUCAUGUUUAUUUGGAUGUUUGCAACUGAGAAGGUUAAGACCACUGAGGUCAGAAGGGAAAAAGCACCAUUUUUGUCUUGUGUUGACUAAUACGAGAAUUGUAUUCUUGAGGGUUUGUUUUAAUGAGUGAAUUGUUUCUUUCUGUUUAAGGCCUCUAGUCUUCCCAUGUCAAUUAUAAUCGUUGGAGUGGGGCCGGCUGAGUUUGAUGAGAUGAUUGAACUGGACGGAGAUGAAGUCAGGAUAUCAUCCAGGGGACACUUUGCAGAGAGAGACAUUGUACAGUUUGUACCUUUCCGAGACUACAUCGAUCGCAGGGGUAAUCACAUUCUCAGCAUGGCCCGCCUGGCGAAGGACGUCCUGGCAGAAAUCCCAGAUCAGUUUCUGCAGUACGUGAGGAGCAGAGGCAUCAAACCGCAGGCAGCGCCCAACUGCACCACCUCCAAACCUCCGUCGACACUCGUUCCCUCCGUCCACUCGCUCCAAACGCAGAUCUGAGCAAUCGCACAAUGCGUCCUCCAUUCGUGUCACUGCCGUUCUCAGGAUCACACACGGUUUUUCCGAGAGAAUCCUACAGGGUGUCUCUCUGGUAUCCUUUGAGAAGUCUUCACCAGGUACCAUCUUUCUUCAGCCGUGCUGAGCUUUCAGAAGGUGUUUCGGACUGUUUUAAACUAUCGAGUGGCCUCUUCAGUCAAACAAGACUUCAGUGUCUCACAUACUGUACAUGAUGUUGUUUUGUCUGGCGACCUUCAAGCAAACGUUUACAAUCGUACCAUUUUUUACAUGGAUGGAUGUUUUUGUAUCUCAUGAGAACAUAAGCAACCUAAACGCUGAGCUGCUUAACAUUGGAAUUAUCGCUCAUUUUCUUACAUGAUGUAAAUAGUGUGAGAUUCUAUGGAGCGCAUGAAUACAUUCUGGGUGCGAAAGUGGGAGAGGAAUGCGUUUCUAUAAACGCUGUGGUGCGAGGCCUUGGUUUACAUCUUGUUGUAAAGUGUUCACUUCAUGUUACUUUUCAAGUAUUCUUGGUUGCUCGACUGCCUCAAAUUGUAAAGAAUUUGUGCUCAGCUUUCACAUAACAAGCACAACACAGAGACUUGACAGAAAAAGCCUUUACAACGAAUAAUUCACACAAAGUAAACAUUUGGCCAUCAUUUUCUCACCUCGGUGUCUUUGACAACCCAUAUGAUUUAUGAAUUUUUGACUUAUAUAUUGUUAUAUUAGGAUUUUGUUGAGCAACUUAUGUUGUUUUUCUACGGAUAAAAGAACGUCAUAUGGGUUUGAAAUGAUGUAAGGGGGAGUAAAUACGACCAAAUUGUUAUUUUUGUGUAAGCUAUUCCUUUAAACACAGAACUGUAGCUGCUCUCAGUAGCCUAUCUGUAUCUAAGCACAGAAAUGCAAGCACAGACGUAGCACAUGAUGUAAGCAUGCUGGGUACCACACGAUUUGUUUGUGUUUGUCAUUGUUAAUCUUGCAUGCAGUUGGAGCCAGAUUUGUUAAUUGGGUCAUUCUACAAAUGUGGUGACAAAAGUUAUUACUCGCACUUAGGUGACAAGACAUCAAACUGCAUGUUAACAAUUUCGAUAGAAAAUAAUAUAUUUAACAAUAUAUAUGGUUAACAUGCUAAAUAAUCUAUUUAAAUAAAGGAAUGUUUGUUAAUAUUUUAGUAAACAAUGUGUAAUAGUAUGAACGAUCUAUAAUAUUUACAAUUAUUAUGAUUUUAUAAGUCGCUUGCAUGAAAAUAUGCAUGUCACUCAUAAUGCGUUUUAUAAUUUCAAAAAGUUGUUAUAAAACUCGAAAUAGGUCGAAAUGAUUUUCAACAAUAUUUUAUGAUGAUGGUACUACUGCAGUACAAAACAUGAAAAUACAAAAAUGACUCAUAAUUUAAUUUAACACUAAUAAUAUAAUAACAUUUGAUACUAAUACAAUUUAAUACUAAUUUGUUUCUUAAAAUUUAAGAAAAGAAAAGGAUUUUAUUUUUUAGAUUAUUUAUACAAUUAUUUGUAGAAUGACCUAAUUAAAUGGCAUCAAAGGAUAUUUUGUGUGAGACCAAACAAAAAUAUAUAUAAUAAAUAAAUAUAUUUUUUACAAUUCAACUCAUUGGGUCGCAUUCAUGAAACAUUCGUAAAUAUACGAGUAAACGUUUUUAUGAUUUGUGCGUAAAACGGACCUUCCCGAAAACUGUCCUCCGGAUUCACAAAUACUUCGUAAACGAUUUGAUAGUAAAACAUGUGUAUGUUAAUGAAUUCCAAUCAUUCGUAAAUAAGGCGUGCAUGCACGCUCAUUCAUAAUCCCCGUCUAUGAUUUACAGUUACGCAAAUUACGUAUCUAGGAAUGCUGUGGAAUCCUUCGAAUUCCAUUCUCUGGUUUGGCACAUUAUAUUGCGUAAAUGCAUAAAAGAAUAAUAAGCUAUGUACAGGUUUGUUAAAAUCGCCAUACGGAGGCUCGGAGAUGAAGUAUUUUGUAUGCAAAACCCGGAAACGAGUUAGCAUUUUAGGACUUCCGGUUCCAUCGCUCCUAAUUCUAUGGGUUUUUUUAAUGGGUUUUUGGUAAAUCGUCCGAAAUAAGGUCGGUUAACAAAACCUCUAAAUAUUUUCACAUUUUAUUUCUAUGACAUAAAACACACCAACUAUAACCCACUUGUGAUUUUUUAAAGCCUUAUUGUGUAUUAAAAAUGGCGGUUGCUAACAAGUUGCUAAAAGCAACUACUUUCUUUGGCGGGGACGUCAUCGUGCAUAUAAAGUUCACAAAUAAUGCAACAUGGACACAAAUCUCUUAAAACGUAGAUGCGGAUUCAUUCACGGAGUAAUUACUUACCAGGGAACACAUUUUUAAUAAAGUUUGAAAGAGUUGUUGGAGGCUUGGUGUUGGGGACAAUGAUAUCGAGCGACCUUAAGUAGUCUGUUUAUCAUCGUGUUAGCUUUGCACUUCUGCCGAUUGUAUUCAAAAGUAACAAAUGUGGUGUUAAUUUGUAAAGAUUAUCUUGAUAGAAAAAACGCGUAAACAUCAUAAACCUUUGUUAAUCACAGAGCUUAUUUUUUGCGAUCUUCCAAAAGUCUAUGGGGAAAAUGCAUAGGCUUACGGUCGAGGGAACCAGCUUACUUAGCGCUUACUUCCGGGUUAGCCUACAAAAAUACUCAUCUAGUCAUCUCUGAGGUACUGGAUUGACGAGGUCUGCUAAAAAUGGAAAAAAAAAAGACAGGGCAAAGGAACUCGUGAAAUAUCAUUAUGAUACAAAAUGCAUUUUUAUGCAUCUGAAAAUUUACGUCAGAACGACGUUAUGUAUGAUUUACACAAAAAUGUGUCCUUCUCGUGUUUCAUGAAUGAGGCCCAUUUUCUGUUGAUAGUUCAGAUGUCCUGAACCAAACAUAUACUGUCCAUCAUUUAAACGCAAAUAUAACGUACAGACAGCACUCAACAUGAUCCACGAGUGUUAUGAGCACACAUCAGAAGCCUUCAGAUAUUUCAGCAAGAAAACAUUGGAGUGAACCCUCAGUCUUGCAGCCCUCAGAGUGCCGACUUCAUUUAUUUAACAUGACAGCGUAUCAACCUCCAACUUACACCCACACUCGCUCACAUCCAUACCGAAUUAUCUUUAUAAAUCAUGCAGAAAACAUGCAUCAAAUUUUAACCUCGCAUGGGAUAGAAAUGUUUCUCGAGUCUUUCCAUAUGUGAUGAGUGAAUACUGCAGUCUUCCUCACUUAUGCCCAAAUCAAACACAAACUAUUACAAAGGUAGAAUAUUACUUUUGUAGAAUAUUUUAAGAAAAUUCAUAUCUUGACCUUGUGCUAGUGACAUUUAAAUUUCAUCUUAUACAUUUUUCAAUGAAACACGUGCAGCUAAUAUAGAUUAUAAUAUAUAAUUAUAAUAAUACUGUAAAUUGUUAUAUUAUAUUAUGUUAUGUUAUAUUAUAUAUUUAUGUUUCAUGUUGACCUAAAAGGGAAAGUUCCCCCACCCCAAAAAAAUCUAUCAUCAAUUACGCAUCCUUAUGUCAUUCCAAACCUGUAUGACUUUCUGUUUAGUGUUGUGCAGGCUUUUAACAACAUGAGGUUCAAUAAAUGAUGACAGAUUUAUUGUUUGGGUUGAACUAAAGAAUGAAGUUUUAAGUCCAAUAAAGUCCAGUUUUUGUUUUUUAGAUAGAAGAUUUACAUACUAUUUGACUGCAUGGCUACUAAAUUGUUUACAAGUAACAGAUAUUGUGCAUUUUAGCUCAGGUGUGACACCUCAUAUGUAAAUUAACUGGUGACAGGUGACAAUGUUGCUUAGUAGUCAUUCUUAGGGCCAGUUUACGUGCACUAUAUAACUCAUUACGCGUCUCAGAAGUUUGUUAAACUGUGAUUAAAGGAGCCAUGACAUGACUUUUCAUUUUAUUUUGUCUCCUGUGGUAAAAUUAUAAUAUUACUAAAGUUUUUGUGCCGAAGAAACAGGUUAGUUUUAAUCCUGUUUAAAUACAGUCCGAUUUCUGUUUCCCCUUUAAGAGUACGUUUACAAGACAACAAUGGAGUAGAAAAUGGAAAGGCUUUUCCUUUGCAUUUUAUAAAAGUUUCACGUACACACGACACUGCUGUCAAAAGGAUCUGUGUUUACUUGGGUCCGCAGAAACGAGUAAAAAUACUGAAUUGCGCAUGCCAGCCCAGUGGAUGGAGAUGUCACUUUGUAAAGAAACACUACGUGCCUGCGCACAUACGAAAAUGCACAAGUUUGUAACCGCCCACUUCUAUGAUUGACAGCUGUUGCUGAGACAUGCUGGUGGAUAACCGCAGUUUCUCUUGUACAUACAGCUAUUCAAACUUUCUUUUUAAGCACGUUAUGUGUUAAUUCAUGUCACAGACACUUCAACAAAUACACAGGUACAACGUUUUUACGAUGAAGGAAAACAUAAAUUUGAAUUUGAAAAAAAAAUACUUCAAAAACCACAGUUAGCACAGAUUAUUAUGUAUAAUAUCAUUAGGUAAAAAGAAGGUGUUGUUAUCUUGCUGUAGGCAGGUUAUAUAAAAAACGAACCUACCUUGUAUCCAGCCAUUUUGCUUUUCUUUUUUUUUCAAGGGAACAAUUACAUAAAUGCUUGUGUUAUUGAAGAGGAGGAUGUUUUAAGAUUUUAAACUUGCAGGAUGUAUUUAUGAUACCAAGACCUCUUAUAUGUCAAAAGAUUAAAGAAAAUUUGAUCCCUCAUGUCAUGACCGUUUUAAGAUGUUUUAUACUGUAAUCUCACAGGUACUGCGAAUGGAAAGUUUACUUCUCAAAAUGUUGGCCAACUUUGUGCAAAACUGCUCAAGUAAACUAGCAGUUUACAAACAUUCAUAUAGCAUGAACACGGAUAUUGUUUACCUUUGUUAAUGAUGAAUUCACAGUUUAACUGCAUCAUGUUUGCCUGCAGCAUGUGCAGUAUUUUGAAAAGAAUUUGUUGUUUGUUUGCUUAUAAAGUAUACACUUUGCCUUAUAUUAUUUACUUCAAAUUUACUAUAUUGAAUUGUAGCAUUAUACAUCUUUUUAAAGCACUUUUUGUGUGCAUUAUGUCUAAAAUGAUUAUAAUGUUUGUGAAGUGAAUGGCCUGUUAUCAUGCAUGCAGGUGCUGUUAUAUCAGUGUAGUUUGGCAUUGAAUGCAUUCAAAUAACCUGUAGCACUUUUUUAAUUCAUGGGAAUUAAACAUUUACAAGUUUAUUAUGUUUCUUGAGAUCAAUCACUGACUUUGAGGCACAUCAAAAUGACCCGACAAAGUUUAAGUGUAAUUUCAUAUUUGUUUAUCACAGAAACUAGUAUUUAUGCUAUAUUUAUAAUAUGAUUACCUACCAGGUUAAAUCAACAACGAUU
Triplophysa rosa is the source of this 6990-nucleotide long non-coding RNA. RefSeq lists it as uncharacterized. NCBI's taxonomy places the organism in Eukaryota, Metazoa, Chordata, Actinopteri, Cypriniformes, Nemacheilidae. The transcript has 3 exons. The record is from RefSeq and is a predicted model, not a curated record.